Molecule: long non-coding RNA, 799 nt
Organism: Puntigrus tetrazona (Sumatra barb)
Lineage: Eukaryota; Metazoa; Chordata; Actinopteri; Cypriniformes; Cyprinidae
Exons: 2
Source: RefSeq, a predicted model, not a curated record
AACUAUGGCUGAAAACGUGCGCAGGCGUCGGUAUGCAUUGGCAUCACUGGGUUGCUUUACAGUCUUUUCCAGGACCUCACCCAUGGCACGUAUGAUGGACUCAGGGGAACUGUCAGUUGUGCUGCGGGGAGUAAACAAAGUUUGUACGUCACUGAGUGAUUUACCUUCUUUCAUCAGGAACUUAGCAAGUUUCUCAGUAAAAUCUCCAGAGGCAGUGUCAGGUACGGAUUCUCUUGGUUGGACUGCUGUGAUGGUCCAUGGCUCUUUAUUUUCUCCAGGUGACACUUCUGGAGGUAGGUGUGUGGUGUCAAUGGCUUGUCUGCACUCACACAACGCAAAGACAAAUCGUGAGGUAGGUCCUUCUCUUGUGUCUCUGACACGAACUCUUCCUAGGGCUUUUAUGGUUUCCAAAGUCUCUUCCAUCUUAGCCACUUCUGUGUGUACAGGUACAUUAAUCAACAUUAAAGCAUGACCCUCAUCAACACCAACAUCUUUGCACCAGCUGAUUAACUCUGCUUGCAGGAAUUCUUCAGUGACUUACCAGAGGGAGAUCCCGGACGAGCCCCCAAUUUAUGUAGCGCCCCCUACCUCCUUUUAUAAUGGCUUAGUAAGGAGCAGCACCAGGUUCAAUAAACUAAUGCCUAAGAGAUGGUGUAUUAAAAAGGCCCCUCUGACGUCACUGAACCAUAUACUUUUCUUUUAGACAGUUAAUCAGAAUAAAAUAUAUACUCACAGUUUGACUGAUCAAGAAUAAACCCUUUAGAAUAAAUAAAACACUUGAAGUAGAAGAAAAUAAACA